GUGGGGAAUAUUGGGCAAUGGGCGAAAGCCUGACCCAGCAACGCCGCGUGAGUGAUGAAGGUUUUCGGACUGUAAAGCUCUGUUGUUUAGGACGAAAGUGCCUGUUGCAAAUAGUUACAGGUAUUGACGGUACUGAACGAGGAAGCCACGGCUAACUACGUGCCAGCAGCCGCGGUAAUACGUAGGUGGCAAGCGUUGUCCGGAAUUAUUGGGCGUAAAGAGCAUGUAGGCGGGAAUCUAAGUCUGUUGUGAAAAUGCGGGGCUCAACCCAGUAUUGCGAUGGAAACUGGGUUUCUUGAGUGCAGGAGAGGAAAGGGGAAUUCCCAGUGUAGCGGUGAAAUGCGUAGAUAUUGGGAGGAACACCAGUGGCGAAGGCGCCUUUCUGGACUGUGUCUGACGCUGAGAUGCGAAAGCCAGGGUAGCGAACGGGAUUAGAAACCCGGGUAGUCC
RNAcentral lists this ribosomal RNA (450 nucleotides) under uncultured bacterium. Its description in RNAcentral is "partial 16S ribosomal RNA". It matches the Rfam family "Bacterial small subunit ribosomal RNA", at positions 354 to 796 of the family's 1533-position model. The record is from RNAcentral.